This 524-nucleotide long non-coding RNA is filed under the name Marmota monax (woodchuck). Lineage: Eukaryota; Metazoa; Chordata; Mammalia; Rodentia; Sciuridae. The record is from RNAcentral.
CUUUAUUUCUGUUUCACAGGAAAGAAGUCCGGAGGCAAGCAGUCUGGGCUGCCAGGCGGCUUCUCAUGUCAGGAUCCUGAGCUAAAGCUGUCCAGCUACUGGGGCAUCCUCAGUAUCUCUCUCCUACCUCCUCAAAGUCCAAGGGGGCUGUUCAAGCGCCACCCAUCACAUCAUUAUUCCUGCAGCUGGAAGGUGGAGGAAGGAGGGAAGAAGGGCAUGCCUCUGUCUGUCCAGGAGCUUCCCUAAAGUUGUCCUAGCUACUUUUAACAUCCCUUCGGCUACAACUGAGUCACGUGACCAAGCUCCUGCCAAAGGAGGCUGGGAGAAAUGCUUUGCUAUAAAUAGAGGACAUGGGGCAGGGGAGAACAGGUUUGGGACUCCUUUACCCUCUCUGCCACCGUCCAUCCUCUGCCAUCAUGAAGACGCCAGCAUGUUCUGGGCCAGCCUUCCCUCUGGCCUCUCCCCCUCGUGCAGGAACAAGGCAUGUCACCCACCUAGGUGACAGCACCACACACCUCCAGUCC